This 468-nucleotide ribosomal RNA is filed under the name uncultured bacterium. RNAcentral describes it as "partial 16S ribosomal RNA". It matches the Rfam family "Bacterial small subunit ribosomal RNA", at positions 28 to 507 of the family's 1533-position model. The record is from RNAcentral.
GACGAACGCUGGCGGCGUGCUUAACACAUGCGAGUCGAACGGAAAGGCCCUGCUUUUGUGGGGUGCUCGAGUGGCGAACGGGUGAGUAACACGUGAGUAACCUGCCCUUGACUUUGGGAUAACUUCAGGAAACUGGGGCUAUUACCGGUUAGGAGCUCCUGUUGCAUGGUGGGGGUUGGAAAGUUUCGGCGGUUGGGGAUGGACUCGCGGCUUAUCAGCUUGUUGGUGGGGUAGUGGCUUACCAAGGCUUUGACGGGUAGCCGGCCUGAGAGGGUGACCGGCCACAUUGGGACUGAGGUACGGCCCAGACGCCUACGGGAGGCAGCAGUGGGGAAUAUUGCACAAUGGGCGGAAGCCUGAUGAAGCAACGCCGCGUGCGGGAUGACGGCUUUCGGGUUGUAAACCGCUUUCGCCUGUGACGAAGCGUGAGUGACGGUAAUGGGUAAAGAAGCACCGGCUAACUACGUG